This 232-nucleotide ribosomal RNA is filed under the name uncultured bacterium. RNAcentral describes it as "partial 16S ribosomal RNA". It matches the Rfam family "Bacterial small subunit ribosomal RNA", at positions 103 to 334 of the family's 1533-position model. The record is from RNAcentral.
CGGGUAGAGGAACAUGUACGCAACCUUCCUUUAACUGGGGGAUAGCCCCUCGAAAGAGGGAUUAAUACUCCGUAAGAUAAUGAUAAGGCAUCUUAUUAUUAUUAUAGCUCCGGCGGUUAAAGAUGGGCGUGCAACUGAUUAGAUAGUUGGCGGGGUAACGGCCCACCAAGUCAGCGAUCAGUAACUGGUGUGAGAGCACGACCAGUCACACGGGCACUGAGACACGGGCCCG